Molecule: RNA transcript, 2478 nt
Organism: Oreochromis aureus
Lineage: Eukaryota; Metazoa; Chordata; Actinopteri; Cichliformes; Cichlidae
Gene name: tapasin-related protein-like
Exons: 9
Source: RefSeq, a predicted model, not a curated record
AUCCCGACAAACUUCCUGUGACAAUCACGCAGCAAGGGGUAUGACCGUGGAGGUCACCGGGGAAGAAUCAUGGGUUUGAUGUUGACCAUAUUUAUUUACUGGACUCUAAGUGCAGGUGUGUGGAGUGUCCAUCAGUUCCAGUGGCUGCCCUGCUCCUUCAUUGAUGAGCGUGUGUUUUUGAACAAGGACAACCACACAGAGACUCGGCUCAUCCACAGAGAGGCUAUACUUCAGUUUGGUCAAAAAGGAGAUGCUCCUGUUAACCGAAACGCCAUUACUUUCCUCAUCACCAGAUCAAAGUUGGAUCUGCUGCAGUAUGUGGAGGGGGUGGAGGCAGAGCAGCUGAAGUGUGAGCUGCACAGAUACAGCACAGAGGGCGGUUAUGUCCGCUGGCCUGUCCUCGGUGCCCGGGAGUACAACCACUGGUUUACCUGCAUCCUCAGACACAGCAGGGGCCUCUUCACCAUCACCAGCUUCCUCAGGCGCCCCUUCGACCAGCCUCCCCCAGGACGGCCAGACUACCAGAAAUGGCCCCCCAUCCCUAACAGAGAGGUGCUCACGACCACAGUUGCCAUGGUCAUCAAAACACAGACUCCCUCAGUUAAAGCACGCCUGAAGUUCCAGCAAAAGCUCCACUGCCAGUUUGAUGUCGACCACAAGGGUGCAAAGGUCACUGUGGAGUGGCACAAGCAGCACCACGGUGAGAGGACCAAGCUCUUCAGUUACAACAGGCGCACAGAACAGACCCAGGGAAGUGGUGUUGGACUACGUGCCUUUGCAGCCGGAGAUGCCUCCUACACCCUCGCCUCCACCAUGAUAAGCAGUGAAGGGACCUACAUUUGUUCAGUGUCCGUGAAUCCACUAUUCGCCAGGGUGGAUAUAAAUCUGCAGAUUGAAGAGCCUCCCCAUGUCUCCCUCAAUGUGGGACCCAGUCUCUCACUAAUGGAGGGUAACAAGAGGAAGAUUGUGUGUGAGGCAAACAGCUACUACCCUCGGGAUGUGGAGAUAAUUUGGCACGAGCAGGAUCCAGUCGUGUUGGGCGCUCCACAUCCCAGGUCACUGGAGAAUGUCAUCCUUUCCUACCACAGAGAAAAUCGGGACAUGACCUUCUCGUUGUCGGGCUUCUUCUACCUCCAGGCUGCGCUCAGGGACUCUGGGAAAAAGUUCACAUGCAGCGUCUCCCAUCAGUCCCUGAAAGUACCCAUCACAAAGAGCUUCACCCUAAUUGUGGAAGAGCCAACAAACUGGAUGUUGUACCUCGCUGUGGGCUCUGUUAUGAUCCUGCUGUUGUAUGUGAAGCGGAGCUACCUGCACUCAGCAUGGAGAAAGUUAGCAGGUAAGGUGAUAUAAAAACAAACAAACUGGAGGACUGGGAACGGAGCGAGAGGAUGUGGCCCCAUUCUCAACACACAAGGCAAGCUGGCAAACUUUCCUUUCUGGGGUCCCCAUGGAAACAUCAGUGAAAGGAUCUGGCGGACUGAGUCCUGACGCUGUGGGAAGCCAGCACCGAAAUCUGUGCACAGCCCUCUUAAGAAUUCGGGUCCGGACCGGUGUUUAUAGUCUGGUCCGCGGCGGUGGGAUUCAGUCUGACGAUCCGAACCACCAGUGAGAUGUCUGAGGAGAAGUUACGUUGUGCAAGCACAGCAGGAAAUCUGCACGCUGUGCAAGCUCAGCAGGACGCAAUCACGCAGCACAGUUGUAUCUUAUCUCUUCCUGUAUGUUUCUGAGACGCAAUCACGCAGCACAGUUGUAUCUUAUCUCUUCCUGUAUGUUUCUGAGACGCAAUCAUGCUUGAGUAUAAAUAAAGGCUGACAACUGCUCCAGGGGUGUGAGUCUCCUUCGAGCUCUCACCCGUGUGCACGUUAAUUUGUAAAACCUGUCUGAGUGUCAUUUAUUCCAACCUGAGUUGAAUUACAGGAAAACUCCUAACAUUUCUUGGUCCUUCGAGCCGGAUUUGGGACAUAACACUUUUGUGUGAUCCCACGGGAAAACCUCAUCGAGUCCUGACGUCGUGAGAAGCCCACGCUGAAGUCUGUCGACAGCUCCUGUCCAGGUACAGGAUAAAAGUCCAGAGACGUUGAAAUUCGGGUUCUGGCCAGCGUUCUUAACAAAGUGGUCCACGACGGUGGGGCUCGAUGAGGAGGACCUGACAACCCGGAAAUAACUCAACAAGCAGGUGAAUAAAUGACACUCUGAGACACGUUGCGUAAAACCGUGUAAAAGCUCGCCCAGAGAGGGGCUGGUAGCAUGUAAAAGCUCGCCUGAAGAAGGCUGGUAGCAUUUUAAAAUAAAAUAGAGCUCGUCUGAAAUAGGACUGGUAGCUCCCCUGUAGUGGGUAAAGUUAGCGCGCGCAUAAAGGUAUUUAUUGUUUUAUUUUUGUGUUGAUGGAAUAAGUUGAUUUUACAGUACAAUAAGGAGGCUGAACUAUUCCACUAAUUUGUUUACUGUUGGCCACCCAAGUACUGGUGAAGAGAGAAA